RNAcentral lists this ribosomal RNA (236 nucleotides) under uncultured bacterium. Its description in RNAcentral is "partial 16S ribosomal RNA". It matches the Rfam family "Bacterial small subunit ribosomal RNA", at positions 1265 to 1500 of the family's 1533-position model. The record is from RNAcentral.
GGUCCAAUCCUUAAAGUCAUCCUCAGUUCGGACUGGGGUCUGCAACCCGACCCCACGAAGCUGGAUUCGCUAGUAAUCGCGCAUCAGCCAUGGCGCGGUGAAUACGUUCCCGGGUCUUGUACACACCGCCCGUCACACCAUGGGAGUUGGAAAUGCCCGAAGCCAGUGACCCAACCGUAAGGAGGGAGCUGUCGAAGGUGGAGCCGAUGACUGGGGUGAAGUCGUAACAAGGUAUC